This 22-nucleotide microRNA is filed under the name Sarcophilus harrisii (Tasmanian devil). Its description in RNAcentral is "Sha-Mir-7318_5p* (star (passenger))". Lineage: Eukaryota; Metazoa; Chordata; Mammalia; Dasyuromorphia; Dasyuridae. The record is from RNAcentral. RNAcentral also lists the same sequence under 2 other names.
CCUCAGAUUUCUAUACGCAUUU